RNAcentral lists this ribosomal RNA (472 nucleotides) under uncultured bacterium. RNAcentral describes it as "bacterial SSU rRNA". It matches the Rfam family "Bacterial small subunit ribosomal RNA", at positions 335 to 798 of the family's 1533-position model. The record is from RNAcentral.
ACUCCUACGGGAGGCAGCAGUGGGGAAUAUUGCACAAUGGGCGCAAGCCUGAUGCAGCCAUGCCGCGUGUAUGAAGAAGGCCUUCGGGUUGUAAAGUACUUUCAGCAGUGAGGAAGGUGGGUAUGUUAAUAGCAUAUUCAUUUGACGUUAGCUGCAGAAGAAGCACCGGCUAACUCCGUGCCAGCAGCCGCGGUAAUACGGAGGGUGCGAGCGUUAAUCGGAAUUACUGGGCGUAAAGCGCAUGCAGGUGGUUUGUUAAGUCAGAUGUGAAAGCCCGGGGCUCAACCUCGGAAUUGCAUUUGAAACUGGCAAACUAGAGUACUGUAGAGGGGGGUGAAAUUUCAGGUGUAGCGGUGAAAUGCGUAGAGAUCUGAAGGAAUACCGGUGGCGAAGGCGGCCCCCUGGACAGAUACUGACACUCAGAUAGCGAAAGCGUGGGGAGCAAACAGGAUUAGAUACCCUGGUAGGCUCU